Molecule: ribosomal RNA, 751 nt
Filed under: Pedobacter sp. CB 286476
Lineage: Bacteria; Pseudomonadati; Bacteroidota; Sphingobacteriia; Sphingobacteriales; Sphingobacteriaceae
Description: bacterial SSU rRNA
Rfam family: Bacterial small subunit ribosomal RNA
Source: RNAcentral
GGUGCGUAACGCGUAUGCAACCUACCUCAAUCAGGGGGAUAGCCCGAAGAAAUUCGGAUUAACACCGCAUAAAAACACAGUACAGCAUUGUACAAUGUUCAAAUAUUUAUAGGAUUGAGAUGGGCAUGCGUGUCAUUAGCUAGUUGGCGGGGUAACGGCCCACCAAGGCGACGAUGACUAGGGGAUCUGAGAGGAUGACCCCCCACACUGGUACUGAGACACGGACCAGACUCCUACGGGAGGCAGCAGUAAGGAAUAUUGGUCAAUGGAGGCAACUCUGAACCAGCCAUGCCGCGUGCAGGAAGACAGCCCUCUGGGUCGUAAACUGCUUUUAUUCGGGAAUAAACCUACUUACGUGUAAGUAGCUGAAUGUACCGAAGGAAUAAGGAUCGGCUAACUCCGUGCCAGCAGCCGCGGUAAUACGGAGGAUCCAAGCGUUAUCCGGAUUUAUUGGGUUUAAAGGGUGCGUAGGCGGCUUAUUAAGUCAGGGGUGAAAGACGGUGGCUCAACCAUCGCAGUGCCCUUGAUACUGAUGAGCUUGAAUGAACUAGAGGUAGGCGGAAUGUGACAAGUAGCGGUGAAAUGCAUAGAUAUGUCACAGAACACCGAUUGCGAAGGCAGCUUACUAUGGUUUUAUUGACGCUGAGGCACGAAAGCGUGGGGAUCAAACAGGAUUAGAUACCCUGGUAGUCCACGCCCUAAACGAUGAAUACUCGCUGUUAGCGAUAUACAGUUAGCGGCUAAGCGAAAG